RNAcentral lists this ribosomal RNA (769 nucleotides) under Erysiphe quercicola. RNAcentral's name for it is "LSU rRNA". It matches the Rfam family "Eukaryotic large subunit ribosomal RNA", at positions 121 to 904 of the family's 3401-position model. The record is from RNAcentral. Lineage: Eukaryota; Fungi; Ascomycota; Leotiomycetes; Helotiales; Erysiphaceae.
UCUGGCUCUUCCGGAGUCCGAGUUGUAAUUUGUAGAAGAUGCUUUGGGUUGUGGGUUCGGCCUAAGUUCCUUGGAACAGGACGUCAUAGAGGGUGAGAAUCCCGUAUGUGGCCGAGGCCCGCGCCUAUGUAAAGCUCUUUCAACGAGUCGAGUUGUUUGGGAAUGCAGCUCAAAAUGGGUGGUAAAUUUCAUCUAAAGCUAAAUAUGGGCCAGAGACCGAUAGCGCACAAGUAGAGUGAUCGAAAGAUGAAAAGCACUUUGGAAAGAGAGUUAAACAGUACGUGAAAUUGUUGAAAGGGAAGCGCUUGCAACCAGACUUGGGCGCUGCCGAUCACCUUGAGUUUUCUCGAGUGCACUCGACAGCGCACAGGCCAGCAUCGGUUCGGGUGGCUGGAUAAAGGCCGUAGGAAUGUGGCUCUCUUCGGGGAGUGUUAUAGCCUACGGUGCCAUGCAGCCCAGCCGGACCGAGGACCGCGCCUUCGGGCUAGGAUGCUGGCGUAAUGGUUGUAAGCGACCCGUCUUGAAACACGGACCAAGGAGUCUAACAUCUAUGCGAGUGUUUGGGUGGUAAACCCAUACGCGGAAUGAAAGUGAACGUAGGUGAGAACCCCUUUGGGGCGCAUCAUCGACCGAUCCUGAUGUCUUCGGAUGGAUUUGAGUAAGAGCAUAGCUGUUGGGACCCGAAAGAUGGUGAACUAUGCCUGAAUAGGGUGAAGCCAGAGGAAACUCUGGUGGAGGCUCGCAGCGGUUCUGACGUGCAAAUCGAUCG